GUUUUGUUUGUUGUUUAACGCCGCACUCAGCAAUAUUCCAGGUGAGGUAUUCCCGCAAAGUUACGCGAGUUUUCUGCCGCUUGGAAAGGAUGUUACUUUCAUUUUUCCCAUUGUGUGUGGCCUCCAAACAGACUACAAGAACAACGAGGAUGUUACCAAGUUCAUCCGACGCUGCCCUCGUCUGCCUUUAGUUCCAGUGGCAAACACGCAGAGCACUCAGACAGACACGUGCUGCUUUACCUGCUAUUAAGGAAGUUGGCUGCGGCGCCUACACGGCUGUUAAGGGAAUGUACCACAGAUCUCGAUUCCUGUGGUGGUUUUGUGACUUUGUGGAUAUUGUCUGCAGUGCCAUCUCAAAUUCAAGUACCGCUGUGUCACUGUUGUGUGACACAAAAGUGGACAAAUAUUGAAGUACCGUUAUGGAUGAUUAUCGACACAGCAGCCACGCAACUUCGAGAGAUGCUGAAAAGAUUUAUCAUGAAACUAGGAGAGGACAUUAAAAACCUGCCCAAAUCAAUCUGGGAGAAAUUUGCCAAUCACUUAAAGGUCACAUGCAACGUAAAACACAACUUUGCAGAUUCUGAUACCUUUCGGUAUGGACAUACCAGAAACAAAUCGUCAAAAAUGCAAAUUCA
Long non-coding RNA from Haliotis rubra (blacklip abalone), 635 nucleotides. RefSeq lists it as uncharacterized. Lineage: Eukaryota; Metazoa; Mollusca; Gastropoda; Lepetellida; Haliotidae. The transcript is spliced from 3 exons. The record is from RefSeq and is a predicted model, not a curated record.